Non-coding RNA from Bimuria novae-zelandiae CBS 107.79, 131 nucleotides. NCBI's taxonomy places the organism in Eukaryota, Fungi, Ascomycota, Dothideomycetes, Pleosporales, Didymosphaeriaceae. The record is from the annotation of a GenBank genome assembly.
GGCUCGGUGGUGUAGUUGGUUAUCACGUCAGUCUAACACGUGUUCCGGCGUUCAGUAUUGUAUACAUGUACUGUACUCCGAAGAAGAACACGGCACACUGAAGGUCCCGAGUUCAAACCUCGGCUGAGUCA